Molecule: non-coding RNA, 247 nt
Filed under: Clostridium sp.
Lineage: Bacteria; Bacillati; Bacillota; Clostridia; Eubacteriales; Clostridiaceae
Description: T-box sequence
Rfam family: T-box leader
About the family: Uncharged tRNA acts as the effector for transcription antitermination of genes in the T-box leader family. T-boxes are found upstream of many aminoacyl-tRNA synthetase genes and some amino acid biosynthetic genes usually in Gram-positive bacteria.
Source: RNAcentral
GAACAGACGAUGAAGAGAAGAGUAAGCGCUGAGAUACGUCACAGAGAGCCUCGGUUGGUGAGAUGAGGCACGGAAGGCAGAGCCGAACAUGGUCUUGGAGUUGCGCACCGACUGCGGUUUCCCGCAUAGGCUGCGACGGUUGCACCCGUCAUCGUGCAGGAGUAUGCUUGUACUCUCAAAGGCCGUUUUCGCGAGGAAACGGCGAACCAAGGUGGUACCACGACCGAUAUUUUCGAUCGUCCUUGAU